Molecule: ribosomal RNA, 605 nt
Filed under: uncultured Alphaproteobacteria bacterium
Lineage: Bacteria; Pseudomonadati; Pseudomonadota; Alphaproteobacteria
Description: bacterial SSU rRNA
Rfam family: Bacterial small subunit ribosomal RNA
Source: RNAcentral
GGGAAUUCGAUUAGAGUUUGAUCCUGGCUCAGAAUCAACGCUGGCGGCGUGCCUAACACAUGCAAGUCGAACGCGAAAGUCCCGAAAGGGAUCAGUAGAGUGGCAAACGGGUGAGUAACACGUGGGUGACCUGCCUUCGAGUGGGGGAUAACGUCCCGAAAGGGACGCUAAUACCGCAUAACAUCCUGCUUUUUAAGAGGUGGAGAUCAAAGCCGGGGAUCGCAAGACCUGGCGCUUGAAGAGGGGCCCGCGUCCGAUUAGCUAGUUGGUGGGGUAAUGGCUCACCAAGGCAUCGAUCGGUAUCCGGCCUGAGAGGGCGGACGGACACACUGGGACUGAGACACGGCCCAGACUCCUACGGGAGGCAGCAGUGGGGAAUUGUUCGCAAUGGGCGCAAGCCUGACGACGCAACGCCGCGUGGAGGAUGAAGACCUUCGGGUCGUAAACUCCUUUCGAUCGAGACGAAUGGCCUUCGGGUUAAUAACCUGGGGGAGUGACGGUACCGAGAGAAGAAGCCCCGGCUAACUCCGUGCCAGCAGCCGCGGUAAUACGAAUCACUAGUGAAUUCGCGGCCGCCUGCAGGUCGACCAUAUGGGAGAGCUCCC